AAGAGAAAAAAAAGAGAAAAGGAACCAAGCGAGAACACUUACCUGCGGCGGACGAUUAGAUUGGAAACAUUCCAAGGCGUCGAAGAAAGAAAAAGCAUUGGUAAAUUAACUUGUUUGGCUUCGGCUCUCUGGUUGAGCGAGUGUUCCAUCGACUUCCACUCGACCUCAGCGUUAGCCAGUGUCCAGCACAUC
Molecule: long non-coding RNA, 192 nt
Organism: Solanum dulcamara
Lineage: Eukaryota; Viridiplantae; Streptophyta; Magnoliopsida; Solanales; Solanaceae
Exons: 3
Source: RefSeq, a predicted model, not a curated record